CGCCUAUGAUGACAAAUUAAAAGGCUUGUUUCUCAAAACAUUCGCAGUGGCCGCCUGAGAGCUUUCGCCUUGCCAGGCUUGAGAGCUUGUGCUGCUUACCAAAACCUUCCUUGGAUGUCUGAGGCU
Small nucleolar RNA from Dendrobium catenatum, 126 nucleotides. RefSeq annotates it as small nucleolar RNA SNORD14. The record is from RefSeq and is a predicted model, not a curated record. NCBI's taxonomy places the organism in Eukaryota, Viridiplantae, Streptophyta, Magnoliopsida, Asparagales, Orchidaceae. The transcript has a single exon.